GUGUAGAAACGGACUCUCCAUACCUGCUUUACGAUCGACUCUAUUUAAGCGAGGUGAGCUUGAAAACAUUGAUAGCGUGAUUGAGAAUGAAUCGUAUCUGUGUCAACUAAAUUCUUAAGUAAAUAAUUGAACAGAGUCAUCUAACGGCAAAAUGUUGUAUUAGUUAUAGGUUUUUGUGAUCAUCGACAUUGUAUAGAUGUCAUCUGACACCAAUCAAGUUAACACAAUACAGAAGUUAAAAAUAAAACUUCAAAACAAAAUAAA
This 264-nucleotide unclassified non-coding RNA is filed under the name Melitaea cinxia (Glanville fritillary). Its description in RNAcentral is "misc RNA ENSMCXG00005012262.1". The record is from RNAcentral. Lineage: Eukaryota; Metazoa; Arthropoda; Insecta; Lepidoptera; Nymphalidae.